RNAcentral lists this ribosomal RNA (408 nucleotides) under uncultured Methylomirabilota bacterium. RNAcentral's name for it is "bacterial SSU rRNA". It matches the Rfam family "Bacterial small subunit ribosomal RNA", at positions 1027 to 1434 of the family's 1533-position model. Lineage: Bacteria; Methylomirabilota (SeqCode). The record is from RNAcentral.
CGUGGAGACAGGUGGUGCAUGGCUGUCGUCAGCUCGUGUCGUGAGAUGUUGGGUUAAGUCCCGCAACGAGCGCAACCCUCACCUCUUGUUGCCAUCAGGUCAUGCUGGGCACUCUAGAGGAACUGCCCCGGUCAACGGGGAGGAAGGCGGGGAUGACGUCAAGUCAUCAUGCCCCUUACGUCCUGGGCUACACACGUGCUACAAUGGCCGGUACAAAGGGAUGCCACACCGCGAGGUAGAGCUAAACCCAAAAAGCCAGUCUAAGUUCAGAUUGGAGUCUGCAACUCGACUCCAUGAAGGAGGAAUCGCUAGUAAUCGCGUAUCAGCACGACGCGGUGAAUACGUUCCCGGGCCUUGUACACACCGCCCGUCACACCACGAAAGCCUGCUGUACUCGAAGUCGCUGAG